Orcinus orca (killer whale) is the source of this 466-nucleotide long non-coding RNA. RefSeq lists it as uncharacterized. The record is from RefSeq and is a predicted model, not a curated record. The transcript is spliced from 3 exons. Lineage: Eukaryota; Metazoa; Chordata; Mammalia; Artiodactyla; Delphinidae.
GAGAAUGUACUAGAGCUUCAGAUACUCAGGGAACUUCCAGUUGCCCCCCCAAACCUGUGUCAACUACUUGUGAUGACUCUAACAAGUCCCCAAACCCAGGUACUUCUCAAAACUGUGCUACUCCCUGGGACCAGAGGCUCUCCAAACCUCAGCUAGUAGGUGUCCCAGACAAUCUCAUCCCAGCUACACUCCACAUCCAUCCACUCCUCAAGCACUACUGUCCCCAGCUACUCCCCAGGUCGCCAGCUACUCCCCAGGUCCUCAGCUACUCCCCCAGUCCCCAGCUACUCCCCAGGUCCCCAGCUACUCCCCAGGUCUCCAGCUACUCUAUAAGCUCAACUACACCAAAGUGCCAGCUAUGCCACUUUCUUUGAUACUCCACAAAUUCCCAGUACCCAUACAUCCUGGCUCCUAUACUUGUUGCCCUGAAGCUUCAGAUGUGGCUAUGCCCCAUGCCUAGCUAUUC